This 339-nucleotide ribosomal RNA is filed under the name Triticum aestivum (bread wheat). RNAcentral's name for it is "partial small subunit ribosomal RNA". Lineage: Eukaryota; Viridiplantae; Streptophyta; Magnoliopsida; Poales; Poaceae. The record is from RNAcentral.
AUGAUGGAUAGGCCAAGCGCGUCGUCGAACCCACUUUUCGAGGAGCAAGGUGAUGAUUCCGGAUAUGUCUCCAAGAACCACUUCUUCAUCGCGCAACGAGUGCUUCAUCAAGAAAAUGUCGCAUUGGGUGAACGCUUGGAACAACUCGCCUCCGACCUUCGUCAAAACAUCGAUGACAAAUUCAACACACAAAUGGAAGAGCUCCACAACAUGAUCGUUCGACGCCCGUCUACCUCAUCGGCUUCUUCAAGACGGUGCCACUCAAGUCACCAUACAAGUCGGCCAUCUUCGGACUACUCUUCUUAUCAUGCAAGUCCACCACGAGCUCUCCCUCCUUGA